Molecule: non-coding RNA, 134 nt
Organism: Triticum aestivum (bread wheat)
Lineage: Eukaryota; Viridiplantae; Streptophyta; Magnoliopsida; Poales; Poaceae
Source: Rfam
CAAAUACUCCCUCCGUCCGAAAAAACUUGUCAUCAAAAUGGACAAAAAUAGGUGUAUCUAAAACUAAAAUACAUCUAGAUACACCCCUUUUAUUCAUUUUGAUGACAAGUAUUUCCGGACGGAGGGAGUAUUUA